GCCGGCUUCUUUAAUGAGGCUAAUUAGGGAUCCAAAUGUUUUCAUAUGAUGCCUUUUUUUUUUUUUUUUCCUAGAAAGACAGAGUAGUGAUGGAGAUCUCACCUUCUGCUCUAAGCAGAUCCUAGAGAUCUUAAAAGUAAAAGGUAAAUGCACUAAGGUGAAAAUAGCACUGCUUUUCAGCAUGGAGGCUCUGUGUUCUGCCUCAGUUCCCAUAGAUCUCUGUUGAUAUCCACCCCCAAAUACUUUCUCAAAAACAAAACCCUUUUCUUGGUAGGGUGACUCCAAUUCACUUUCUCUUUUUUUUUUUUUCUUUCUCUUUGGUGUGUGUGUGCUGCAGAUUCUGCAGUCCUGAGUCACGGUCAUGAGGAGAAGAGCUGUAACACUGUGAUACAGAAUUUCCAAUCUCUAACCUGAGCAGACUGGCCUGCUCAUCAGCGUGGUCGCAGGGCGGCUCAAAUCCCAGCUUGGAUGCUUCAGGGUCACAGCCUUCAUCAGAAACUCCACAUCUGGAGAAGGAGAUUCUAUUCUGUUUGGGACAGAACCAGGCCCCAGAGCAAGCCCACCUAUUCAAGGCCUUCCUUCUUGCUGCACAUGACUACAGUAGAAUAUUUCUUGCUUGAGAACAUGGCGUAUGUCAGGCACACACUGUCCCCUUUUCAGCAGAUUUUGAUUGAUCCAUGAAAUAAAGCCUACUGCAGAAACUAAAAGCCA
Molecule: long non-coding RNA, 711 nt
Filed under: Phasianus colchicus (ring-necked pheasant)
Lineage: Eukaryota; Metazoa; Chordata; Aves; Galliformes; Phasianidae
Description: lncRNA (ENSPCLG00000009026.1)
Source: RNAcentral